RNAcentral lists this ribosomal RNA (638 nucleotides) under Antennella confusa. RNAcentral describes it as "partial 16S ribosomal RNA". It matches the Rfam family "Bacterial large subunit ribosomal RNA", at positions 1796 to 2606 of the family's 2925-position model. The record is from RNAcentral. Lineage: Eukaryota; Metazoa; Cnidaria; Hydrozoa; Leptothecata; Halopterididae.
UCGACUGUUUACCAAAAACAUAGCUUUUUAAGAAAGUAAAAAGUGUAAUCUGCCCAGUGAUUAUACAGCAUAAUAAUAUAUUAUUAACUUAUAAUUAAACGGCCGCUGUAUUCUUGACGGUGAUAAUGUAGGAAAAUAAUUAGUCAAUUAAUUGUUGAACGUAGAUGAAUGAUUGAACGAAAUUUCCACUGUCUUAUUUAUAAUAUAUUGAAAUUAAUAUAAUAGUGAAGAAGCUAUUUAAAAUUGUAAGACGAAAAGACCCUGUAAAGCUUAACUAUAUAUAUUAAUAAUUUAUGCUAAUAUACGCAAUUAUAUUAGCACUAGAUUUAUUAAUUGGGUAGUUUGGUUGGGGCAACAACAUUUUAAAAUUAAAAAAUGUAUAUUAAAAUAAUAUUAUUAUUUAUUGUUUAAUUUAUACAUUUAACAAUUAUAAUUUAGAUAUAAUGACCUAUCUUUAUACUAUAAAAUUUUAUGAGAUAAUAAAUAAAUAAAAGUUACUUCAGGGAUAACAGGUUAAUUUUAUUUGAAAGAUGAUAUUAAAAAUAAAGUUUGACACCUCGAUGUUGAAUUAAGUUAUCCUAGUGUUGCAGCAGAUACUAAGGGUUGGUCUGUUCGACCAUUAAAAACUUACAUGAUUU